This 778-nucleotide small RNA is filed under the name Pongo abelii (Sumatran orangutan). RNAcentral's name for it is "processed transcript". The record is from RNAcentral. Lineage: Eukaryota; Metazoa; Chordata; Mammalia; Primates; Hominidae.
GUCAUUGACGCCAUGAGCGCGCUGCUGCGGCUACUGCGCACGGGUGCCCCAGCCGCUGCGUGCCUGCGGUUGGGGACCAGUGCAGGGACCGGGUCGCGCCGUGCUAUGGCCCUGUACCACACUGAGGAGCGCGGCCAGCCCUGCUCGCAGAAUUACCGCCUCUUCUUUAAGAAUGUAACUGGUCACUACAUUUCCCCCUUUCAUGAUAUUCCUCUGAAGGUGAACUCUAAAGAGGAAAAUGGCAUUCCUAUGAAGAAAGCACGAAAUGAUGAAUAUGAGAAUCUGUUUAAUAUGAUUGUAGAAAUACCUCGGUGGACAAAUGCUAAAAUGGAGAUUGCCACCAAGGAGCCAAUGAAUCCCAUUAAACAAUAUGUAAAGGAUGGAAAGCUACGCUAUGUGGCAAAUAUCUUCCCUUACAAGGGUUAUAUAUGGAAUUAUGGUACCCUCCCUCAGACUUGGGAAGAUCCCCAUGAAAAAGAUAAGAGCACGAACUGCUUUGGAGAUAAUGAUCCUAUUGAUGUUUGCGAAAUAGGCUCAAAGAUUCUUUCUUGUGGCGAAGUUAUUCAUGUGAAGAUCCUUGGAAUUUUGGCUCUUAUUGAUGAAGGUGAAACAGAUUGGAAAUUAAUUGCUAUCAAUGUGAAUGAUCCUGAAGCCUCAAAGUUUCAUGGUCUCAGAAAUAUUACAGUAUAUACAAUAAAUCGCAUAGUCAUCCUGCCUUCACUUGACAGGAGCCAGGCUUCCAGCCUGUCCUACCUGCCUGCACAUCAGGAUUCCUAUG